ACCUGCCACGUUUAAGCCGUUAUCUGCAAUUAAUGGCGUUUCUACCCUCAUUCACCAAACCCGCCUUCGUCAACCCAUAAAUUACCAACCCAGAAUUCUCAUGCCCCUCUCUUCUUUCAUUCUACUCCUCUCUCCUCUCAAGAACCAUGAACUUCAGCCUUCAUCGCACCCUCUCUUGUGGUCGAGCAGAACAGUAGGAGGAAAAGAAGGAAGCGGCGACGCUCCACCAAAUCAGCUGCAUUCCGCCAUCAAUCAGAUCGGAGGAGGGAGGAAAAAAACAACAAGUUAACAAGAACAACAAGGACACUAAUCUGUGCAACUCAAGAAAAUACCAAACUCUCAAAAUUGACUGGACUGAGGUGAUAGAGUGGGAUAAGGAAGUGACGCAUCUUGGAGAAAAACUCAUGGGAUUGUUGUCUAAAGGGAUGGGACAAAGUCCUAACAAUUUGGCUGGGAAGUCCUAUUUAGGAAGGAGAACUAUGGUCGACCAGUAUUAUCCAUAUUGUCAAGAGCCUAAAAAAAAAAUUGGGAUUGCUUCACAUACAGAUCCUGGGAUCAAGUGGGUGGACUACAAGUAAAAUAUGAUGGUAAGUGGAUCAAUCUCAAACCAGUUCACGACACUCUUGUUGUUAACAUUACAUUUGGUAUUUAUAGUGUUAGACAUCAAAACAAUCUAAGGGACAAGAAAAUGUCACGUCGAUUGAAGCUUGGGGCAGAAGAAAACAAUUCACCCACAGGGUUCGGUCGAACCAAGGUCAAGUUUGGCCGAACCUAACCAAAGUUCGGCCAAACUUCCCGAAUCUCCAAGCUACUGACUCUUUUCUUGUUCGGUCGAACCAUCAAAGGGUUCGACCGAACUUCCAACAAGUUUGGUCGAACUUCAAAAAAGUUUGGCCUAACCUCCAAAAUCUCCAAGAUACUCUCUUUUCUUGUUCGGUCGAACAAUCAAAGGGUUCAUCCGAACUUCUGAAAGGUUUGUUCGAACCUCAAACAUGUUUGGCCGGACCUCCCUGCUUUAUGACAGUUUCUCAUAAAAUAGUCAUAACUCCAUCGUUUCUCAUCCAAAAUGAGCUUAUGACAAUGCGUUAGAAAGCUAUUGAACAAAGCUUUCACCUCCGACUUGAAUCAACUCAAUCUAAUGAUUAUAUCAUGAGAUAUGUCUAUUUCAAGCCAGUCAUUUCAUUAUAAUAACUCAAACAUCCUUCAAGGAGGAUUCGAGGCACACGUAACACAAGUUUUAUAACCAAAUACGUGCAACAAAUGAUUUGGGAACAAACCUUGUAAAUAUUGUGUAGAACAAAUAGCAAAAACAAUAAUAAAAGACACAGGUGUUUGUGAGGAAAUUUAGAUUUCCUCCCCUCAAAUAUUAUCGUAUUAUUAAGUUCCUGCAAAAUAAUACAAUAACCCCUUAAUUGAUGAUUCGUCUCACCAAUGUAUUUUUCCUCUUCUUCUAGCUAGGCCUAAACCCCCUUUUAUAGGCUAAACUAGAAACCUACAUCUACUAGAAUUAUACUUGCUCUCCAAGUCUAAAUAGUUCUAGAGAUUGUUACAUACCAAAAUAUAUCUAGUUUCCUAAUUACAAUUCUAAUUAAACUAGGAAAUAAGAUAUUAAACCAAACAAGAUUUAAGAGUCCAACGUGAAUAAGAUUCUCAUAAUUCUUAUCAAGUCCACCGUGAUUCCUAACAUCAUUGUUUGAUGUGGUUUGUACCACAAGCUUAUAUUUUACUCCAAGUCCGUUUCGUAUUCUUGUCGACUUAACUAAGUUGUGUUUAAUUCCUAACAACAUGUGAUGAGGUGAAGAAGGAGAACGACCAAAUUCAACCCGGAUGUAGUACAUUCCCCUCAUUUAGAGUUUAUUUUGAACUUUUUUUUGUUUCCGGUAAGUUUACUAUUCCCUCAUUUUAGUAGUUAUACAAAAUAUUAAUUAUGUUCUAACUUAAUUACGGAACUGUACUAGUUAUUUAGCCUUCAAUUGACGGUUUGUGUGAUACUUUGUUCACUAUCAGUGAAAAUUGAAAAACCUUGAAAUUUACCUGUUAAUUAUUUCCCCCCAAAUUUUUGAAUUUUUUUUGUUUCCAGAAAUGGUUAACAUUUAGUCUAGAAAAGUGAGAUGUUUGUUGAUUUAAUGUCUGAAAGUGUUGAUUUUUCUUCUUCUUUCUUCUCUAGUGUCAUAGAUUGUGAAUUUAACUCGUAAUUGCAUUGUUUUUCCUUCCAUUGUAAGAUGUGGAUUCCGUUUGGUUUCCCUUGCUUGAUUUGAAUUUUAUUUGGUUUUGAUCUUGUUCAAGACUUAAACCAUAAGUGUUUUUAAUCAAAAUGGUGAGUGUCCUAGAGGCCGGUAAGAUGUUCAUGUUUCAACUCCAAGAACAUGUUAUUGGCUAUCCAACUCCUAUAUUCAUUUAAUUACUAAUUCCAUAUUUCCAUACCAUAACAAUAAAUCUCGCUCUUGCAAUCAAUACUCUUUUAAUGGAGUUGAUUUGUUUAGUUGUUGUAAGUUUGGUUUGUCUUGUCAUAUUUCUCGUGUAUCGGGAAAUUUUUAUUGCUUUAUUUGAGUCCCAAGACUUCCAACAACAUAUUUUUACACAUUGUUAUGCCUUUGAGUAUAAUAUUGACUUCAUCUAUGUUUCUCUAACUUUUGUUUUCAUGCAAGGUUUCAAUGUCUAUCCCAGGCAACCAAAUUCGUCUUAGGAAUGAUAUAGACAACAUCAGUAACCUACCAGACACAAUCCUUUAUCUUAUACUAUGUUUUCUCCCCACAAAGUCUGUUUGUUAGGACUAACAUAUUGUCAAAUAAAUGGAGGUAUGUGUGGACCAAAGUUCCCGUAUUGGACUUCACUGAGAUGCCUGAUCAUUUUAAGUCAUAUAAAUCACUAAUUUUGGAGCAAAAGAUUUGUUUCAAGAGCUUUGUGGAUAAAGUUCAUGUUCAUAAUGUUGUAUCCCGUUUACAACGAUUUUUCAUAGACCUAUAUGAUGUAGAUGCCUUCUAUGUCAAUUCAUGGCUGAAUGUUGCAGCAAGGCGUGAAAUUCGUGAGCUCAACAUCUACCUUCUUUGGAAGUCAAAGUUGCGUUUUUGUCUGCCUCCACGGAUUCUUGUGGUGGGGAACUUGUGAUUUUAAAACUCAAGGGCCACUUAACUAUCAAUGCCUCAAUGUCUUUGCAUUUUCCAAAACUUGAGACCAUCCGCCUCAAGUACCUAAGGUUUGCUGAUAAUGAAUUUAUGAGAAAGUUGUUAUCCAGUUGUCAUGUUCUUACUUCUUAGAGUGCCGAGGAUUGUAGAAUGUAAGGGCUUAACUACUACCUUUUAUAUAGAGUCAUUGAUGCUAAAGUUACUGGAAAAAAAAAAAAAAAAAAACUCCUUGGGGCGUCCUUUGUCAUUAAAACACCAAAGCUCAUGUUCCUUUGUGUCCAUGGUAAAUUGUCACAGUUUGAUAUUGAGGAUAUGAACCUACUCAAUGGAGCAAAUCUCGAUGAUGUUGAUCAUGGUCAUUGUGCACUAAAGCUUCUAAGUUACAUUUAUGGGGUAAAAGUGUUGUAUUUGGGAUUUAGAGUAAGAACUUCACGAAGGAAAAGAAGCUACCGGUGUUUCGAAACUUGACUUGUUUACAUCACAAACGUAUGGAUGAAGUUACAUUUAGACUAUUAAAUUAUGCUCCCAGCUUGAAAUCUUUGAUCGUAGAGAUUCAGCUCUGGGGACUCAAGCGCAAUCUUAAAUUUGUACCCGAGCAUCUCCCAUGCCUUGAAAGUGUGGAUAUCCAUCAAUUUUGUGGCGAAGAAGAUGAAAUCGACGUGUUAUCUUAUAUUUUGAAGGCUGCACCAGCUUUUGAAGUAGGUGAAAAUUGGAAUUAUGGAUGAUUCCGGAGAAAUACAGACACCUAUUUUUCAGAAGUUACUGAGUCUUUCCAGAUCCUCUGUCGUUUGCCAAGUUAAUGUAACUGUAGUAUGACCUAAGUUGAGACUCAAGACAGUGUUCAACCAUUCAUUAGGGCUUUUGUUAACCUUUUAGCUCAUGAAUCUUCAUACUCUAUCAAUAUUUUUUUUGAAUAUUUUUACUCCAGUUUGAAUGUAUAAAUCCGUAUUUUUCUUGUUUCA
RNA transcript from Spinacia oleracea (spinach), 4087 nucleotides. RefSeq lists it as uncharacterized. The transcript is spliced from 4 exons. NCBI's taxonomy places the organism in Eukaryota, Viridiplantae, Streptophyta, Magnoliopsida, Caryophyllales, Amaranthaceae. The record is from RefSeq and is a predicted model, not a curated record.